UCACAGGUGGACCAACUUUUCCGCAAGAC
RNAcentral lists this non-coding RNA (29 nucleotides) under Mus musculus (house mouse). The record is from RNAcentral. Lineage: Eukaryota; Metazoa; Chordata; Mammalia; Rodentia; Muridae.